RNAcentral lists this long non-coding RNA (249 nucleotides) under Salvia miltiorrhiza (redroot sage). RNAcentral describes it as "long non-coding RNA (SMIL_LNC013089)". Lineage: Eukaryota; Viridiplantae; Streptophyta; Magnoliopsida; Lamiales; Lamiaceae. The record is from RNAcentral.
UUGACUCCACUGCCUCUCCGGUGUUACCGGAGCCCGAAUCCUCUGUGAGGGGCGAGCCUCGACGGAGAUUGAUGUUCGAGCCGCUCGAAUCCUCUGUGAUCCUUCUUUUUCGUGUGUCUGAUUUGUUUUUUUCGUGCUUACAGUGGGGAUUGAUUGAAUACAUUAUUGGUUGUUGGUGUGAAUGUUGCUGAAAUGAUGAAUGAUCUGUUGAUUUUGGUGCAUUUCUGAGAAUUUUGUCGUUGAUGUUGG